ACAAAAGGGAAAAACGGCUCGGGCGGGCGCAAGUCCGCUCGUAGUCAAUCCCGAAAUCCUGUAUUCACCCCAAGUUCCUUUAAAACUUACAAAUAAAAAACUUGCAAAAAGACCACCUCCGUCAGGUGGCGCUUAAUGCAUACGUGA
RNAcentral lists this unclassified non-coding RNA (147 nucleotides) under uncultured fungus. RNAcentral describes it as "sequence contains ITS1". The record is from RNAcentral. Lineage: Eukaryota; Fungi.